UGCAUACCCAGCUUCCUAUAAAAUCUUUUCAAAGCGAACACAGUGUACCAUUUUAGCGCAGGCUGACCGAGCCCACAGCUGUCCCCUGCACACACGCCCUGCCCCCGAACAGCUGCAGGUCUUGAACCACCCUGGGGGUUCACUGAUCCAUCAUUUCAGGAAACAUGAUCAUCAGACUGGGCAGGCUCACACCUGGAUACUUCCGCCUUCUCCAGAGGCAGGUCGCUGGUGAGAUCCAGACGCAGCCUCAUGACCGCACCGUCAACCAGAUUGCCAUGAUGCUGGCCAUCAUGGGUCUGAGUCUGUCCUACUACAGUGCCAAACAGAUGACAGAGAAGGUCCAAGUCCAGCCUGCAGCCUGAAGAUUAUCAGUCGCUCCAGAAUCUGGAGAUGACAGAUGAACCAAUAAGAACCGGGAGGAAGAAAUGGAGGUAAAGGGAGGAAGAAAAGCACGGUGGUGUGUCUCGGGACAGCACUUUUCUCACCUUAGUCGUCAAUCACACCCUUCCACUGACUUCUUGGGAUCCUUCACUUAUCACCAGCGGAACUUUCAGGGUCAAAUAAAAAAUAAUUCCCAUUUUCUGGUGCAAGGACCUUCAACAAUUUGGGAGAUUUUCUUAUCUGGGGUCAUGGGGAGAACUGGUUUUAGUGCUUGGAAACCAGCUCACUGCCAAAUGGGUCUGAGCAUUAGUCAUUACAAGGGUGCAUGCUUGCAGGAUGCCAUCAGUGCUAUAAAAAAGAGAAAAACUUUCACUGUGAAACAAAUUUUGUCCACAAAGGGUUAUAUUUUCUGAAUUCUUCUUUUUAAGGGAUGGCUGACAGAGCUGUGCCUCCUGAUGAAGUGAUGGCAGACCCAGAACAAAACUAAAAGGGGAUGAUAUGUUACCUUUAAUAAUUUUGACUUUUUUGUUUUUUGUUCCUCCUCCAGAAUUUUGUAGAGCCUCAGAACAGAUCAUAAUCUGUGAUCUGUUGGUCUACAUGCCAGCUGUGUCUAUCAGUAAAUAUUUGCACAAAACUAUCGAAACCUUUUGAAAUGCUAAAGUGGAAUCUGCCAAGGGACUCCAAAGUACUCACUGUUUAUUGUGUGUUUUCAUUGUUUUAACAAUUCACAAGUCCUCUGUGUGUGACUGUUGAUGAGAACCUUUCUUGCAGGAUCUACAAAUGUUAAUGCAAUUGUGAAAUGUUAGUGAAAUGCAUGUACAUGUAGAAAUGUAAUCAUUGCAAUCCUUUUUUUAUUGAUGAAUGAAUGUGUCACUUUAUUUUUGCAAUGAUUUAAUAAAGCUGUGAAUAUUUAAAAAAAUUUCAAGCGGAUGUUUGAUAACAUUGGAAGAGUCUCGAGGUUGGCACAUUGAGCUGCAGCGUGACAUUGUUUCCUGCAUCUGAGAAUCUGUGGUGUCAUCUGCAUGCAACAGGAUGCGGUAGGUCUGACUUGCGUGUUAUGUCUCCUAAGUGAGACUGCAUUUUAAUUUUCUUUUCUUAUCCUGUUGGUGCCCCAUGUGCAAAUGGAAGCCCUAAUUUAUAGCUAGCUGCAAACAAGUCCAGCCUGCAGCCCGAAGAUUCUGGAGAUUUUGGAGGAGUGUAAAAUGUUCUUUAGGAUGUAUAUUAUGGGAAAAAGCCAUUUAAGCAAAUUUUUUGUCACAGAAUAUUAAUGCAACCUCCAAUACAUGGACAUAAAGCAUAGAAAUUCAACAGAAAUUGUCGACAGCUACUCUGUUUUUCCGGUUAUUUUGCAGGGCGUGGAGUUGUUCUGUGUUUGCAUGGCUGCUCCCGGCUGAUGUGAUGCCCGGUGACAGUCUGAGUUCUCGUUGGGUGCCACGUGACCCUCCCAAAACCUCUGCCCACGCCACUAGCCCCUCCCCUUCGCUCUCUAUCUUGCAUGUCACUGGGUAAAAAUCUCACUUUAGCAUCUAUGUGAUGAUGGCAUGAGGACACAACCCCAAAUGAAGAGUGACCAUUGGUUGACCGCUGAAGCGUCACAAUAAUCGGCCUGGUUCUGUGGUGGAGAGACAAAAGGAUGCGGAUUGGUCAUUGGUGGGGAUUGUGGGUGGGAUUAGCAUUCAAUGUUUAGAUUACAGGUUAUAAUUCGCAAAACAUAUAUGCAACACAUAUCCAAAAUCUCAGAGUGAGAGUUUUUUAAAAUUUGUUUUGAGGAAGAAGACAGUUUGAGUAAGCAGUCUGGCACAUUUAACCCUGAAAAAAAAAAAAAAAAAAUCAGACUGUAAAGCUUUCCUUGAUCUAAUUUCUAUCUUUAAAUAAACAAAUGCCAACAUCAGGAUCCUUGACGAACAUAAAUGUUUAUAAAUGGGGCUUAUAGUUAUGAUCAAUGGGAGAGUUGCUUGUUUUUGUACCAUGUGUGUUGGUUGUUUUAAACAGAUACAUAUUUACUCGGAUGAUGAAUGUAAAGCAUUUGAAGCACUUUUAGAUCAAGAGGUACUGAAUAAUUUUGUUUUGAUACUCAUUUGAAAUAAAGACUUUAUAUCUGAUGCUAGAACCAUUUAUUGGCACCGUUUAUAUAAAAAGUCUGCAGAUAAAUUCUGGUUU
Long non-coding RNA from Gambusia affinis (western mosquitofish), 2541 nucleotides. RefSeq lists it as uncharacterized. The record is from RefSeq and is a predicted model, not a curated record. Lineage: Eukaryota; Metazoa; Chordata; Actinopteri; Cyprinodontiformes; Poeciliidae. The transcript has 3 exons.